This 253-nucleotide ribosomal RNA is filed under the name uncultured bacterium. Its description in RNAcentral is "partial 16S ribosomal RNA". It matches the Rfam family "Bacterial small subunit ribosomal RNA", at positions 524 to 776 of the family's 1533-position model. The record is from RNAcentral.
UACGUAGGGUGCAAGCGUUAAUCGGAAUUACUGGGCGUAAAGCGUGCGCAGGCGGUUUUGUAAGUCUGACGUGAAAUCCCCGGGCUCAACCUGGGAAUUGCGUUGGAGACUGCAAGGCUGGAGUCUGGCAGAGGGGGGUAGAAUUCCACGUGUAGCAGUGAAAUGCGUAGAGAUUGGAAAGAACACCGAUGGCGAAGGCACUUUACUGGGCUAUUACUAACACUCAGAGACGAAAGCUAGGGUAGCAAAUGGG